This 580-nucleotide ribosomal RNA is filed under the name uncultured bacterium. Its description in RNAcentral is "bacterial SSU rRNA". It matches the Rfam family "Bacterial small subunit ribosomal RNA", at positions 124 to 722 of the family's 1533-position model. The record is from RNAcentral.
ACCUGCCGUAUACCGGGGGAUAACACUUAGAAAUAGGUGCUAAUACCGCAUGAGCGCACAGCUCCGCAUGGAGCGGUGUGAAAAACUCCGGUGGUAUACGAUGGAUCCGCGUCUGAUUAGCCAGUUGGCGGGGUAACGGCCCACCAAAGCGACGAUCAGUAGCCGGCCUGAGAGGGUGAACGGCCACAUUGGGACUGAGACACGGCCCAGACUCCUACGGGAGGCAGCAGUGGGGAAUAUUGCACAAUGGGGGAAACCCUGAUGCAGCGACGCCGCGUGAGUGAAGAAGUAUCUCGGUAUGUAAAGCUCUAUCAGCAGGAAAGAUAAUGACGGUACCUGACUAAGAAGCCCCGGCUAACUACGUGCCAGCAGCCGCGGUAAUACGUAGGGGGCAAGCGUUAUCCGGAUUUACUGGGUGUAAAGGGAGCGUAGACGGCAGCGCAAGUCUGGAGUGAAAUGCCGGGGCCCAACCCCGGAACUGCUUUGGAAACUGUGCGGCUCGAGUGCGGGAGAGGUAGGCGGAAUUCCUAGUGUAGCGGUGAAAUGCGUAGAUAUUAGGAGGAACACCAGUGGCGAAGGC